This 409-nucleotide ribosomal RNA is filed under the name uncultured bacterium. Its description in RNAcentral is "bacterial SSU rRNA". It matches the Rfam family "Bacterial small subunit ribosomal RNA", at positions 355 to 776 of the family's 1533-position model. The record is from RNAcentral.
UGGGGAAUAUUGCGCAAUGGGCGAAAGCCUGACGCAGCGACGCCGCGUGAGGGAUGAAGGCCUUCGGGUCGUAAACCUCUUUCAGCAGGGAAGAAGCGCAAGUGACGGUACCUGCAGAAGAAGCACCGGCUAACUACGUGCCAGCAGCCGCGGUAAUACGUAGGGUGCAAGCGUUGUCCGGAAUUAUUGGGCGUAAAGAGCUCGUAGGCGGUCUGUCGCGUCUGCUGUGAAAACCUAGGGCUUAACUCUGGGCGUGCAGUGGGUACGGGCAGGCUAGAGUGCAGUAGGGGAGACUGGAAUUCCUGGUGUAGCGGUGAAAUGCGCAGAUAUCAGGAGGAACACCGGUGGCGAAGGCGGGUCUCUGGGCUGUAACUGACGCUGAGGAGCGAAAGCAUGGGGAGCGAACAGG